This 469-nucleotide ribosomal RNA is filed under the name uncultured bacterium. Its description in RNAcentral is "bacterial SSU rRNA". It matches the Rfam family "Bacterial small subunit ribosomal RNA", at positions 28 to 507 of the family's 1533-position model. The record is from RNAcentral.
GAUGAACGCUAGCUACAGGCUUAACACAUGCAAGUCGAGGGGUAGCACGGAGGAAGCUUGCUUCCUUGGGUGACGACCGGCGCACGGGUGAGUAACGCGUAUCCGACCUACCCAUUACUCGGGCACAGCCGCUCGAAAGAGUGAUUGAUUCCCGAUAUGUCCUUGGAGUAGAUUCAAUGAUGAAAGAUUUAUCGGUAACGGAUGGGGAUGCGUGACAUUAGAUAGUAGGCGGGGUAACGGCCCACCUAGUCUACGAUGUCUAGGGGUUCUGAGAGGAAGGUCCCCCACACUGGAACUGAGACACGGUCCAGACUCCUACGGGAGGCAGCAGUGGGGAAUAUUGGGCAAUGGGGGAAACCCUGACCCAGCAACGCCGCGUGAAGGAAGAAGGCCUUCGGGUUGUAAACUUCUUUUACCAGGGACGAACACAAUGACGGUACCUGAAGAAAAAGCAACGGCUAACUACGUG